RNAcentral lists this ribosomal RNA (874 nucleotides) under Staphylococcus nepalensis. RNAcentral's name for it is "bacterial SSU rRNA". It matches the Rfam family "Bacterial small subunit ribosomal RNA", at positions 73 to 929 of the family's 1533-position model. Lineage: Bacteria; Bacillati; Bacillota; Bacilli; Caryophanales; Staphylococcaceae. The record is from RNAcentral.
CAUGGACUUGCUCUUUGACGUUAGCGGCGGACGGGUGAGUAACACGUGGGUAACCUACCUAUAAGACUGGAAUAACUCCGGGAAACCGGGGCUAAUGCCGGAUAAUAUUUAGAACCGCAUGGUUCUAAAGUGAAAGAUGGUUUUGCUAUCACUUAUAGAUGGACCCGCGCCGUAUUAGCUAGUUGGUGGGGUAAUGGCUUACCAAGGCAACGAUACGUAGCCGACCUGAGAGGGUGAUCGGCCACACUGGAACUGAGACACGGUCCAGACUCCUACGGGAGGCAGCAGUAGGGAAUCUUCCGCAAUGGGCGAAAGCCUGACGGAGCAACGCCGCGUGAGUGAUGAAGGUCUUCGGAUCGUAAAACUCUGUUAUUAGGGAAGAACAAAUGUGUAAGUAACUGUGCACGUCUUGACGGUACCUAAUCAGAAAGCCACGGCUAACUACGUGCCAGCAGCCGCGGUAAUACGUAGGUGGCAAGCGUUAUCCGGAAUUAUUGGGCGUAAAGCGCGCGUAGGCGGUUUCUUAAGUCUGAUGUGAAAGCCCACGGCUCAACCGUGGAGGGUCAUUGGAAACUGGGAAACUUGAGUGCAGAAGAGGAAAGUGGAAUUCCAUGUGUAGCGGUGAAAUGCGCAGAGAUAUGGAGGAACACCAGUGGCGAAGGCGACUUUCUGGUCUGUAACUGACGCUGAUGUGCGAAAGCGUGGGGAUCAAACAGGAUUAGAUACCCUGGUAGUCCACGCCGUAAACGAUGAGUGCUAAGUGUUAGGGGGUUUCCGCCCCUUAGUGCUGCAGCUAACGCAUUAAGCACUCCGCCUGGGGAGUACGACCGCAAGGUUGAAACUCAAGAAAGGAAUUGACGGGGACCCGCACAAG